RNAcentral lists this transfer RNA (66 nucleotides) under fish gut metagenome. It matches the Rfam family "tRNA", at positions 5 to 66 of the family's 71-position model. From Rfam's summary of the family: Transfer RNA (tRNA) molecules are approximately 80 nucleotides in length. Their secondary structure includes four short double-helical elements and three loops (D, anti-codon, and T loops). Further hydrogen bonds mediate the characteristic L-shaped molecular structure. tRNAs have two regions of fundamental functional importance: the anti-codon, which is responsible for specific mRNA codon recognition, and the 3' end, to which the tRNAs corresponding amino acid is attached (by aminoacyl-tRNA synthetases). tRNAs cope with the degeneracy of the genetic code in two manners: having more than one tRNA (with a specific anti-codon) for a particular amino acid; and 'wobble' base-pairing, i.e. permitting non-standard base-pairing at the 3rd anti-codon position. The record is from RNAcentral.
CAAUAGCUCAAUUGGUAGAGUACCGGUCUCCAAAACCGGGUGUUGGGGGUUCGAUUCCCUCUUGGU